Molecule: long non-coding RNA, 644 nt
Organism: Ictalurus punctatus (channel catfish)
Lineage: Eukaryota; Metazoa; Chordata; Actinopteri; Siluriformes; Ictaluridae
Source: Ensembl
GUCUAUACUGGAUUUUGAAUAUAACAGUGGUGGAUAACAUAGGACAGGAUAAGUCUGUGUUUUAAAGACUUAUACAGCCCCGAUGCUGGUGUACAAAAAUGGCGACAAAGGAAAUCUCUGAUCAUAGAAUUGUGAAGAUGCAGACAUUUCAGCCUGGUCCGCGCUGCAAACAUCUAGAAAUAAUCGCUACAGUGAAAUUCAGGAAAGAACAUACAUUGUGCCUCAACCCCAAAGAUGCAUGGGUUCAGAAGGCCCUGAAAAGAAGGAACCUGGCACAAUAGAUUGCUACUGCAUUGAAGAUGGUUGAAGGAGAAGAAAAUUAGGAAGAGUUGAUGAAGUAAAAUUCUCUUACCACCUCAGUAUUUCUUCACUCAUCAUAUGAGUAAUUAUCUAGGUUCUAACGGAAUAUGUAUAAAAAUUAUACAUAGUCUAUAUUACUGUAAUAAAAUCAACAUUGUCUAGAUUUUUUUAUUAUACAACAAUUUAUGAACAUUUCACUAAUAUUACUAAUAAAAGUCUUUUGAACAUUCAAUACUGUCUGUGUUAUUCACAACUUCAUAGUAAUGGCUCUAAAUAACUUGGACAUACACCAGUAUAAAUAAUUUUAAAACUCUCUAAAUCCUACAACGUGACAAAUAAAUGAA